UGCAGGAGGAAUGUCUUAUGGAUUGUAAACUGCUUUAUUUGGGAAUAAACCCCCCGACGUGUCGGGGUCUGAAGGUACCAAAUGAAUAAGCACCGGCUAACUCCGUGCCAGCAGCCGCGGUAAUACGGAGGGUGCAAGCGUUAUCCGGAAUCAUUGGGUUUAAAGGGUCCGCAGGCGGGCAUAUAAGUCAGUGGUGAAAGCCUACAGCUCAACUGUAGAACUGCCAUUGAUACUGUAAGUCUUGAAUUCGGUCGAAGUGGGCGGAAUGUGUAGUGUAGCGGUGAAAUGCAUAGAUAUUACACAGAACACCGAUAGCGAAGGCAGCUCACUAGGCCUGGAUUGACGCUCAGGGACGAAAGCGUGGGGAUCAAACAGGAUUAGAUACCCUGGUAGUCCACGCUGUAAACGAUGAUUACUCGUUUUCGGCGAUAUACAGUC
Molecule: ribosomal RNA, 438 nt
Filed under: uncultured bacterium
Lineage: Bacteria
Description: bacterial SSU rRNA
Rfam family: Bacterial small subunit ribosomal RNA
Source: RNAcentral